This 716-nucleotide small RNA is filed under the name Pan troglodytes (chimpanzee). RNAcentral's name for it is "processed transcript". Lineage: Eukaryota; Metazoa; Chordata; Mammalia; Primates; Hominidae. The record is from RNAcentral.
GAACCAGCUGAGCGCAGCUGGACCCAGCAGCCGCUGUCUCCAGUGCCGCAGCAGCAGCCCAACAGCAUGGUGGUGGAACACCCCGAGUUCCUCAAGGCAGGGAAGGAGCCUGGCCUGCAGAUCUGGCGUGUGGAGAAGUUCGAUCUGGUGCCCGUGCCCACCAACCUUUAUGGAGACUUCUUCACGGGCGACGCCUAUGUCAUCCUGAAGACAGUGCAGCUGAGGAACGGAAAUCUGCAGUAUGACCUCCACUACUGGCUGGGCAAUGAGUGCAGCCAGGAUGAGAGCGGGGCGGCCGCCAUCUUUACCGUGCAGCUGGAUGACUACCUGAACGGCCGGGCCGUGCAGCACCGUGAGGUCCAGGGCUUCGAGUCGGCCACCUUCCUAGGCUACUUCAAGUCUGGCCUGAAGUACAAGAAAGGAGGUGUGGCAUCAGGAUUCAAGCACGUGGUACCCAACGAGGUGGUGGUGCAGAGACUCUUCCAGGUCAAAGGGCGGCGUGUGGUCCGUGCCACCGAGGUACCUGUGUCCUGGGAGAGCUUCAACAAUGGCGACUGCUUCAUCCUGGACCUGGGCAACAACAUCCACCAGUGGUGUGGUUCCAACAGCAAUCGGUAUGAAAGACUGAAGGCCACACAGGUGUCCAAGGGCAUCCGGGACAACGAGCGGAGUGGCCGGGCCCGAGUGCACGUGUCUGAGGAGGGCGCUGAGCCCGA